AUUGAACGCUGGCGGCAGGCCUAACACAUGCAAGUCGAGCGGAUGAAGGGAGCUUGCUCCUGGAUUCAGCGGCGGACGGGUGAGUAAUGCCUAGGAAUCUGCCUGGUAGUGGGGGAUAACGUCCGGAAACGGGCGCUAAUACCGCAUACGUCCUGAGGGAGAAAGUGGGGGAUCUUCGGACCUCACGCUAUCAGAUGAGCCUAGGUCGGAUCAGCUAGUUGGUGGGGUAAAGGCCUACCAAGGCGACGAUCCGUAACUGGUCUGAGAGGAUGAUCAGUCACACUGGAACUGAGACACGGUCCAGACUCCUACGGGAGGCAGCAGUGGGGAAUAUUGGACAAUGGGCGAAAGCCUGAUCCAGCCAUGCCGCGUGUGUGAAGAAGGUCUUCGGAUUGUAAAGCACUUUAAGUUGGGAGGAAGGGCAGUAAGUUAAUACCUUGCCGUUUUGACGUUACCAACAGAAUAAGCACCGGCUAACUUCGUG
This 484-nucleotide ribosomal RNA is filed under the name uncultured bacterium. RNAcentral's name for it is "partial 16S ribosomal RNA". It matches the Rfam family "Bacterial small subunit ribosomal RNA", at positions 30 to 507 of the family's 1533-position model. The record is from RNAcentral.